Molecule: ribosomal RNA, 468 nt
Filed under: uncultured bacterium
Lineage: Bacteria
Description: partial 16S ribosomal RNA
Rfam family: Bacterial small subunit ribosomal RNA
Source: RNAcentral
GACGAACGCUGGCGGCGUGCUUAACACAUGCAAGUCGAACGGUGAUGCUCCAGCUUGCUGGAGUGGAUCAGUGGCGAACGGGUGAGUAACACGUGAGCAACCUGCCCCAGACUCUGGAAUAAGCGCUGGAAACGGCGUCUAAUACUGGAUACGAAACUGGCCCGCAUGGGCAUGGUUUGGAAAGUUUUUCGGUUUGGGAUGGGCUCGCGGCCUAUCAGCUUGUUGGUGAGGUAAUGGCUCACCAAGGCGACGACGGGUAGCCGGCCUGAGAGGGCGACCGGCCACACUGGGACUGAGACACGGCCCAGACUACUACGGGAGGCAGCAGUGGGGAAUAUUGCACAAUGGGCGAAAGCCUGAUGCAGCGACGCCGCGUGAGGGAUGACGGCCUUCGGGUUGUAAACCUCUUUCAGCAGGGAAGAAGCGAAAGUGACGGUACCUGCAGAAGAAGCACCGGCUAACUACGUG